AUUGAACGCUGGCGGCAUGCCUUACACAUGCAAGUCGAACGGCAGCGCGGGAGCAAUCCUGGCGGCGAGUGGCGAACGGGUGAGUAAGACAUCGGAACGUGUCCUGGAGUGGGGGAUAGCCCGGCGAAAGCCGGAUUAAUACCGCAUACGCUCUAUGGAGGAAAGCGGGGGAUCGCAAGACCUCGCGCUCAAGGGGCGGCCGAUGGCGGAUUAGCUAGUUGGUGGGGUAAAGGCCUACCAAGGCGACGAUCCGUAGCUGGUCUGAGAGGA
This 270-nucleotide ribosomal RNA is filed under the name uncultured bacterium. RNAcentral's name for it is "partial 16S ribosomal RNA". It matches the Rfam family "Bacterial small subunit ribosomal RNA", at positions 29 to 300 of the family's 1533-position model. The record is from RNAcentral.